CCCUUAGAUGUUCUGGGCCGCACGCGCGCUACACUGAUGCAUUCAACGAGUCUAAAACCUGCUCUGAUAGGGGUGGGUAAUCUUUUGAAUGUGCAUCGUGAUUGGGAUAGAUGAUUGCAAUUUUUCAUCUUCAACGAGGAAUGCCUAGUAAACGCAAGUCAUCAGCUUGCAUUGAUUACGUCCCUGCCCUUUGUACACACCGCCCGUCGCUCCUACCGAUUGAAUGAUCCGAUGAAUAUCAUGGAUUGAGGAUGCAAGUAGGCUAGCCUAUCUUCAUCUUCGAGAAGUGAAGUAAAUCUUAUCAUUUAGAGGAAGGAGAAGUCGUAACA
Molecule: ribosomal RNA, 329 nt
Filed under: uncultured eukaryote
Lineage: Eukaryota
Description: partial 18S ribosomal RNA
Rfam family: Eukaryotic small subunit ribosomal RNA
Source: RNAcentral